CUUCCAUGGCACGGGGAAGAGGCCGAGAAGUAGGCUGUGGUGUUGUGCGGUGUUGCUACGAACGGCCAAGAACAACAUCGAACAUCGAGAUCCCUCUUUGGGGAAGAUGGGCAUUAUAAAAUUCAAAGUUUUUUCGGAGCAGUAAGGCGAGAAAGGUAGGACCGUGUAGGCAUCAUCAUCAUAAAGCGAACAAGAAGAAACACCCAAAACACAAGGGCCUCCUCGGGCCCGGCGGGCGGUGUGGAAAGGUGUGGAAAGAGUGUUAUGAUUUCUUUUGCGCUUCUCAUCGUUCCGUCGAUGGUUUGUUGGAUGGUUUCCCUUACCCCGUGUACCACACUUCUGGAUGAGCUGGAUUAUAUCAGCAUAAUCUUGUUAAAGGAAAUUUGCACGAUUUCGGUUCGGUUCCAAGAGGUGCUUGCUGCCCAGGUUCCGUUCCGUUUGCGGUCGAAGGGACGUGUUAGGGGCAAUAAAUUGAAAGAUGUUUAACCACCCCGUAAGCGAGCAAUUGAUUCUCAAAGGACCUGUGUUUGCAUGCGUUCUAGCAACAUCAAUCCGGUGAGGAGCACAGUUUAGUGACGGUUUUGUGCUAUCAAUUGCAGUCAACCGCGAGCAAAACCGAUAAAUGUAUUUUCCACACAUGCUAAAUAAGUGAGAGGGAGGAAGGUCAGAAAAAAAUGGCGCUACAAUUGAUACAUAGGACAUAGGAACGGAAAAACAUGCAAGCUGCAAACUACGUCGAAAUGAAACAACGAAAUAAAAAUACACUGUAGAAUUGCAUAGAAUUGCAACCUCAAACGA
Long non-coding RNA from Anopheles merus, 798 nucleotides. RefSeq lists it as uncharacterized. The transcript is spliced from 2 exons. Lineage: Eukaryota; Metazoa; Arthropoda; Insecta; Diptera; Culicidae. The record is from RefSeq and is a predicted model, not a curated record.